This 484-nucleotide ribosomal RNA is filed under the name uncultured bacterium. RNAcentral's name for it is "partial 16S ribosomal RNA". It matches the Rfam family "Bacterial small subunit ribosomal RNA", at positions 30 to 507 of the family's 1533-position model. The record is from RNAcentral.
AUUGAACGCUGGCGGCAGGCCUAACACAUGCAAGUCGAGCGGAUGAAGGGAGCUUGCUCCUGGAUUCAGCGGCGGACGGGUGAGUAAUGCCUAGGAAUCUGCCUGGUAGUGGGGGAUAACGUCCGGAAACGGGCGCUAAUACCGCAUACGUCCUGAGGGAGAAGGUGGGGGAUCUUCGGACCUCACGCUAUCAGAUGAGCCUAGGUCGGAUUAGCUAGUUGGUGGGGUAAAGGCCUACCAAGGCGACGAUCCGUAACUGGUCUGAGAGGAUGAUCAGUCACACUGGAACUGAGACACGAUCCAGACUCCUACGGGAGGCAGCAGUGGGGAAUAUUGGACAAUGGGCGAAAGCCUGAUCCAGCCAUGCCGCGUGUGUGAAGAAGGUCUUCGGAUUGUAAAGCACUUUAAGUUGGGAGGAAGGGCAGUAAGUUAAUACCUUGCUGUUUUGACGUUACCAACAGAAUAAGCACCGGCUAACUUCGUG